GGGGCGUGGGGGGGUGCAAUGGUCGCUGGUUUUUCUAGGCAUGCUCGCUCUUGAGGAGUUAAGAUUCUUUUCAAGCAAAUUCAGGGGUUAAGGGUUUCUCUGAAGGUUGAUGUUUCUGGAUGAGCUAGGAAGACUGACAAGGCCUGGGAUUUGGUUUUAGUAACGGUGUUUGAACCUACUGCUUCUAUGUGAGGAUCUUUGCCAGGGUAAUGCAGGAGCUACAGGAGAAUAAGAUUAGCCAGAAUAGAGACCGAGCAGUUUUUCCAACUUGGACCUGACAAGGGUGGAAACCAUAUUUGACAUUCAGAUAUGUAUGCUGCCAGUCCAAAGUGGGAUAUUAUCUUGACGACAGAGACAGAGCACCCUCUAUAGUAAGUUAAAGGUAAUUUACCGUGAGAUGAGAAGAUCUCUUCACAGGACCAGCUAAUACACAAUGUGACCUUCAUGUAUGUGCAUGACUACUCGAAGGGGGAGGCUGGAGCUGCUUAAACACCUAAGUGAGGAUUUGUCACUUUCUUUGGUUUAAUCAACUUAAGUUAGUAUUACCAAUUAUUAUGAUAUGCAAAACCUUAGGAUCUGUAUAUUCUAUUUCUCCAUGAGUUCAUGAAGACUGCAACCCAUCUUAUU
This is a long non-coding RNA of Aegilops tauschii subsp. strangulata, 627 nucleotides long. RefSeq lists it as uncharacterized. NCBI's taxonomy places the organism in Eukaryota, Viridiplantae, Streptophyta, Magnoliopsida, Poales, Poaceae. The record is from RefSeq and is a predicted model, not a curated record.